UGGGGAAUAUUGCACAAUGGGCGCAAGCCUGAUGCAGCCAUGCCGCGUGUGUGAAGAAGGCCUUCGGGUUGUAAAGCACUUUCAGCGGGGAGGAAGGCGAUAAGGUUAAUAACCUUGUCGAUUGACGUUACCCGCAGAAGAAGCACCGGCUAACUCCGUGCCAGCAGCCGCGGUAAUACGGAGGGUGCAAGCGUUAAUCGGAAUUACUGGGCGUAAAGCGCACGCAGGCGGUCUGUCAAGUCGGAUGUGAAAUCCCCGGGCUUAACCUGGGAACUGCAUUCGAAACUGGCAGGCUAGAGUCUUGUAGAGGGGGGUAGAAUUCCAGGUGGAGCGGUGAAAUGCGUAGAGAUCUGGAGGAAUACCGGUGGCGAAGGCGGCCCCCUGGACGAAGACUGACGCUCAGGUGCGAAAGCGUGGGGAGCAAACAGG
This 429-nucleotide ribosomal RNA is filed under the name Chloroflexota bacterium. RNAcentral's name for it is "Chloroflexi bacterium partial 16S ribosomal RNA". It matches the Rfam family "Bacterial small subunit ribosomal RNA", at positions 355 to 776 of the family's 1533-position model. Lineage: Bacteria; Bacillati; Chloroflexota. The record is from RNAcentral.